CCUACGGGAGGCAGCAGUAGGGAAUAUUGCUCAAUGGGCGAAACCCUGAAGCAGCAACGCCGCGUGGAGGAUGAAGGUUUUCGGAUUGUAAACUCCUUUUGUUAGAGAAGAUAAUGACGGUAUCUAACGAAUAAGCACCGUCUAACUCCGUGCCAGCAGCCGCGGUAAUACGGCGGGUGCAAGCGUUACUCGGAAUCACUGGGCGUAAAGCGCGCGUAGGCGGGAUAGCAAGUCAGAUGUGAAAUCCUAUGGCUUAACCAUAGAACUGCAUGUGAAACUGUUAUUCUAGAGUAUGGGAAGGGUAGGUGGAAUUCUUGGUGUAGGGGUAAAAUCCGUAGAGAUCAAGAGGAAGACUGAUUGCGAAGGCGACCUGCUAGAACAUAACUGACGCUGAUGCGCGAAAGCGUGGGGAGCAAACAGGAUUAGAUACCCCAGUAGUC
This 440-nucleotide ribosomal RNA is filed under the name uncultured bacterium. RNAcentral describes it as "partial 16S ribosomal RNA". It matches the Rfam family "Bacterial small subunit ribosomal RNA", at positions 338 to 795 of the family's 1533-position model. The record is from RNAcentral.